This 632-nucleotide ribosomal RNA is filed under the name Entoloma rugosiviscosum. RNAcentral describes it as "LSU rRNA". It matches the Rfam family "Eukaryotic large subunit ribosomal RNA", at positions 53 to 656 of the family's 3401-position model. The record is from RNAcentral. Lineage: Eukaryota; Fungi; Basidiomycota; Agaricomycetes; Agaricales; Entolomataceae.
GAGGAAAAGAAACUAACAAGGAUUUCCCUAGUAACUGCGAGUGAAGCGGAAAAAGCUCAAAUUUAAAAUCUGAUAGUCUUUUGGCUGUCCGAGUUGUAAUCUAAAGAAGUGUUAUCCGUGCUGGACCAUGUACAAGUCUCCUGGAAUGGAGCGUCAUAGAGGGUGAGAAUCCCGUCUUUGACAUGGACUACCAGUGCAUUUGUGAUGCACUUUCAAAGAGUCGAGUUGUUUGGGAAUGCAGCUCUAAAUGGGUGGUAAAUUCCAUCUAAAGCUAAAUAUUGGCAAGAGACCGAUAGCGAACAAGUACCGUGAGGGAAAGAUGAAAAGAACUUUGGAAAGAGAGUUAAACAGUACGUGAAAUUGUUGAAAGGGAAACGCUUGAAGUCAGUCAUGUUGACUCAGGGAUCAACCUUGCUCUUUUGCUUGGUGCAUUUUCUGGUUGACAGGUCAGCAUCAAUUUUGACCAAUGGAUAAAGAUUGAGGGAAUGUGACAUCUAUGGAUGUGUUAUAGCCUUUGGUUGUAUACAUUGGUUGAGAUUGAGGAAUUCAGCAUGCCGCUUGCGGUCAGGUUUUUUCAAACCAUGUUUCAUGCUUAGGAUGGCUGGCAUAAUGGCUUUAAUCGACCCGUCUUG